AUAUCAGUCAUGCAUAGCAUAUCAAUAAGCGGAGGAAAAGAAACUAACAAGGAUUCCCUUAGUAACGGCGAGUGAAGCGGGAAGAGCUCAAAUUUGAAAUCUUCAAGGUUUUACCUUGACGAAUUGUAGUUUAAAGAAGUGUUUUCUGUUGAAGUUUUGGUAAAAGUUCUUUGGAAUAGGACAUCAUAGAGGGUGAGAAUCCCGUAUUUGACCAUUACUUUCAGCUUUGUGAUACACUUUCAAAGAGUCGGAUUGUUUGGGAAUGCAGUCCAAAAUGGGUGGUGAAUUUCAUCUAAAGCUAAAUAUUGGCGAGAGACCGAUAGCGAACAAGUACCGUGAGGGAAAGAUGAAAAGAACUUUGAAAAGAGAGUUAAACAGUACGUGAAAUUGUCAAAAGGGAAGCGUUUGACACCAGUGUUGUUUUCUCGAAAAUCAAUUAAAAAGAGUUGGAUUUUGUGUUGUAUUGACUUUAUCAGGCUUUCUUCACUCUUUUCCAGCUUUUUUUAAUGCACUUUUCGUUUAACAAGUCAACAUCAGUUUCUUUUGUUGUAAAAAGGUCAUUGGAAGGUGGCUUUCUCUUCGGAGAAAGUGUUUAUAGCCUUUGACUCAUGCAAUCGGAGAGACUGAGGUCUGCAGCGUAGAUCCUUCGGGGUUAGAUACAUUUGUGCUAAGUUAUAGCUUUUCAUAGACAACUUGUUGACUAUGUUUAGUCUUGUAGCUUACUCGCUUAUGCUAUUUUACCUACGCUUAGGAUGUUGAACUCUAUCACACACAG
This 775-nucleotide ribosomal RNA is filed under the name uncultured Neocallimastigales. RNAcentral's name for it is "partial large subunit ribosomal RNA". It matches the Rfam family "Eukaryotic large subunit ribosomal RNA", at positions 22 to 621 of the family's 3401-position model. The record is from RNAcentral. Lineage: Eukaryota; Fungi; Neocallimastigomycota; Neocallimastigomycetes; Neocallimastigales.